GUGUCAGCCGCCGCGGUAAUACGGAGGGUGCAAGCGUUAUCCGGAUUCACUGGGUUUAAAGGGUGCGUAGGCGGGUUGGUAAGUCCGUGGUGAAAUCCCCAAGCUUAACUUGGGAACUGCCGUGGAUACUAUCAAUCUUGAAUAUCGUGGAGGUAAGCGGAAUAUGUCAUGUAGCGGUGAAAUGCUUAGAUAUGACAUAGAACACCAAUUGCGUAGGCAGCUUACUACACGAUCAUUGACGCUGAGGCACGAAAGCGUGGGGAGCAAACAGGAUUAGAAACCCCCGUAGUCC
This 292-nucleotide ribosomal RNA is filed under the name uncultured bacterium. Its description in RNAcentral is "partial 16S ribosomal RNA". It matches the Rfam family "Bacterial small subunit ribosomal RNA", at positions 505 to 796 of the family's 1533-position model. The record is from RNAcentral.